This 125-nucleotide microRNA precursor is filed under the name Loxodonta africana (African savanna elephant). Its description in RNAcentral is "miRNA (ENSLAFG00000025290.1)". The stretch from base 38 to 89 matches the Rfam family "mir-1302 microRNA precursor family". The record is from RNAcentral. Lineage: Eukaryota; Metazoa; Chordata; Mammalia; Proboscidea; Elephantidae.
CAGUUAAAUCUGAAUUUCAGAGAAACAAUUUUUUUUUUUUUGAGUGUAAGUAUAUCCCAUGUAAUAUUUGGGACAGACUUAUACUAAAAAAUUAUUCACUGUUUCUUUGAAACUCAGAUUUAACU